CCCCUGGUGUGCGGAGCACGCGCGCGGGGCGGGGGGUUGCCCAGUGCCUGGGGCCUGUAGCGUGCGGGGGCAGGGCUGUCGCUUCUGCCUGUUUGGCACGAAAUUGGCACUGAGUCGGGGGCACGUGUUCCAGCUGGUGGAUGGGAUACAAUGCGUGUGCGUGGGGUGCUGUGCCCUCCCGGCUCGCUGGAGCGCCGCGCCGCGCCAUAGCUGCAGGGUGCGUGAUGAGAGGGUUCACCGAACAGCGUUGGAUGGAGGAUAUGUUGUGCAGUGGUCAUUGUCACUGUGCUGACCCCUUGGCCUGAAUCUCUUUUUGGACAAAUUGGCUGCAGGGACUUCAGCCAAAUUGAAGAGAUUUCUGAACACAGUGGCUUAGCUUUUUGUACUGAUUUGGUGUAUACUGACUACAGUACCUUCUGUGCAUCACCCAGCUUCAUCUGUGUCUUUGGUUCCGUUUAAAGAACUGCAUGAGUCAGAUGUCUUCAUGGUCCUAUAUGAGUACUAAUAGACACUUGCCAAAUUAGUCUCCAGAAAGGAAAAUGUAUAAAGGCUAUUUGCUUUUAUUAUUGUUUUUGGAAAGCAGAUAAAUGUGCUGAGUCUGAGUGUGUGAUUAUAAGGACUUGUUUGAGGGUUGGAGCACAGAAAUCUAACAUUUGUUACAAAAACCCCAAAACGAAACCCCAAACAAAAACUGAACGGAGAAACUUAAUUUGACAAGGUUUGCUGAGCUGAUUGUUGCUCUCAGUUCUCCAAAAUGAACCAUUAUCUCCAUGGAGGUGGCACUUCUCAACCAGUCAACAAUAUGAGACCAUUUUACACAGGGAGACUAGGGCAAUCAUCAGUAUACUUUUAGUUUUGAUCCUGGACCAUAUAUAUAUAUAUAAUCUCACACUCUCUCUCACACACACACACACACACACACGAAGGGGCACAAAGACAAACUAUACACAUAACAAAGUAAAUGAUUUUUAAUAAUAAUUUAAAAUUACGAUAGUUAGCAAUUAGAGCAAGUGACUAGGGGUUAGACUUGGGCUCUAUUCCUGACUGGAUCGUUGACUUACAGGAUAACUUGAUCUGUCAUUAAUCCGUGUGCUUCAUUUUCUCUGUAAAUUAUUGCUAUUUUACCACCUUUGUAAAGUGUUUUGAAAUCAUCAGAUGAAAGGUGCUAUAUAUGCAAAGGACAGUGUUAUUUUCUCCACAGCCUAUCCCAAGCAUUAACCUUAUCACAGUACUUUAAAACAAACAGCAGUAAUUUCACCAACAUCAGUUGUCUCACUGAAUAUCAGAUUACAGAUUUCACAAACAAACCACCUGUAUGACUGCAACUAAUUUGACUGCUGUAAUUCCAAUCUCUUCAAUCUAAGGCCUGGUCUAGUCACAUUUUUAUAUCAGUUUUAUCUGAUUAGAACAGAUAUAAUUAAAUAAGCACAAAUGUAGAUAGUCUGUUUACAGAAAUAAGCUGUAUCAAGGUAAGCACCUUUAUACUGUAUAACUGCCUCCCUAUGAGGGGUUGUGCUGAUUUCUAAACAGAUAUUAAAAUGGUGCAAAUGCUAUAUGUAGACAAGCCUUAAGACAGGUCUUUCAUAUGUUCCUGUGAGAAGAGAAGACUUUGCAGCAUGGCUAUAAGAUUACUAAAUCCAGGCCUUAGUAUAAACCAAGCUGGUUAUUUAUUGGUAAUUGGCUAUCCUGGGAAGAUAACUGUUUUGCAUGUGAAAAACAAAUACCCACGAACUGUUCCUGAAGCAUCCUGAUAUUGUAGUGGCUUUGUAAAGAAGUAGAAGACACAUAAAUAACAUUAUCUGUUUGGUUCAUUGAUCCAGACUGUUUUUGUCAGCUUUAGAGGAAUACACAAUGCAUUCAAAAAACCUGUGCGUAAAGUAGAAGUUGGGUCCACAUCAAGUUUAAAACUGAUGGGGGUUUCCUUCUGAAUUAUUGUUGUUGGUUUUUUUAUAUUUGUGAUGCCUAGUUUCAGUUAAGUGGUGGUUAAAUUAUUUGUAGUUUAUAAAGAUGUUGUAAAAUCAAAUUGUUUUAAUUAAAUAAAUGACUUGCAGAUGGAGAGAAUUUAAGUAUUGGUUAGCAUAAUCCACUUACCUUUUAGGUAUGUAUUCCAUAAUCCUUUACCAUGUCUGAAGAAAUGGCUUAGAUCAGCAGUCCAAUCUUGUUCGAUUCUGCAGCAAAGUCUUAAUUCUGAACACUGAGUUGGAAUUACUUCUAUAACAGUGUAUUUUGAUGUAUCAGACUUCACUCAGGACCCAGGCUCUAAAGAGAAGUCGUCUUCAGUAUCAAAAUGCAAACUGAGAAAACACUGACCAGGAACAUUUCUUCAACUUUUUUCUUUGCUUCAAUGUAAAAGUUCAACUUUAAAGAGGAGGACUAGGCAAUCUGAUUUAUGAUUCCAUUCCGCAAGUUGUUGAUAACUUCCUGCAAGGUGCUAUGUAUGCUCAGCCAUCUGUGAAUUUAUUGAGAAUUGAGGGUGAUCAGGACCUACUUCCACUGUCACCACCUUCACACUAGUCAAUACUGGUAAAGAUUAGAAUUAUCUAACUAGUAAACUCUUAAUGAACCACCUAGUGGCAGAUAGCCCCCCACACUUCCUGGAUUCAUCUGGCUUGAAAAACUUUUAAGGAAACCUUGCUUAUAUUAGCGCAAAAGAAGUCUGGCAAUCUAGAUUCUGGGUACUUGUGAUUUCCUAUCACCACAGAAUCUGAGCACCUCAGAAACAUUAAUGAUUUGCUCCUCAUACCAUUCCUUCUGAGAUAGGAAAGUAUAUUCUUACUUUUUUUAACAGGUGGGGAAAAUAAGCCACAAUGAAACUAAAUGACCUCCCAAAGUAUCACAUGAACUCUAUGGCAGAGCUGAACACACAUCUGAGUUUCAGUGCUGUCCUUAACAACAGGAUCCUUUCUUUCAGUAAUUAGCAUUUCCCUCCCCGUGAAGCUUCUAAUAUUCAUCUAGUCCUAGUUGUUCCCCUUAAACAUACCUACUCGGGUUUUUCAGAUACUACCCAUCCCUUUCAAAUGUUUCCCAGUUCCUCUGCAAUCUUGUUUUUAGAGCUUUUCAGUACAACAUCAUACAGACACAGUACAACUUCAAAAAGUUUUUUUCCUCCUGCUAACGAUAGCUCAUCUCAAUUGAUUAGACUCUGCCUGUUGGU
Molecule: RNA transcript, 3154 nt
Organism: Mauremys reevesii (Reeves's turtle)
Lineage: Eukaryota; Metazoa; Chordata; Testudines; Geoemydidae
Gene: MACIR
Gene name: macrophage immunometabolism regulator
Exons: 2
Source: RefSeq, a predicted model, not a curated record